This 395-nucleotide ribosomal RNA is filed under the name uncultured haloarchaeon. RNAcentral describes it as "bacterial SSU rRNA". It matches the Rfam family "Archaeal small subunit ribosomal RNA", at positions 344 to 738 of the family's 1478-position model. Lineage: Archaea; Methanobacteriati; Methanobacteriota; Halobacteria; Halobacteriales; Halobacteriaceae. The record is from RNAcentral.
AAACCUUUACACUGCACGACAGUGCGAUAGGGGGAUUCCGAGUGCGAGGGCAUACAGUCCUCGCUUUUCUGGACCGUAAGGAGGUCCAAGAAUAAGGGCUGGGCAAGACCGGUGCCAGCCGCCGCGGUAAUACCGGCAGCCCGAGUGAUGGCCGAUAUUAUUGGGCCUAAAGCGUCCGUAGCUGGCCAGACAAGUCCGUUGGGAAAUCCACGCGCUCAACGCGUGGGCGUCCAGCGGAAACUGCCUGGCUUGGGGCCGGAGGACUCGAGGGGUACGUCCGGGGUAGGAGUGAAAUCCCGUAAUCCUGGACGGACCACCGGUGGCGAAAGCGCCUCGAGAGGACGGACCCGACAGUGAGGGACGAAAGCCAGGGUCUCGAACCGGAUUAGAUACCC